UACAGGGGGGGCAAGCGUUGUUCGGAAUUACUGGGCGUAAAGGGCUCGUAGGCGGCCAACUAAGUCACACGUGAAAUCCCCAGGCUUAACCUGGGAACUGCGUGUGAUACUGGAUGGCUUGAAUUCGGGAGAGGGAUGCAGAAUUCCAGGUGUAGCGGUGAAAUGCGUAGAUAUCUGGAGGAAUACCGGUGGCGAAGGCGGCAUCCUGGACCGACAUUGACGCUGAGGAGCGAAAGCUAGGGGAGCAAACAGG
Molecule: ribosomal RNA, 253 nt
Filed under: uncultured bacterium
Lineage: Bacteria
Description: partial 16S ribosomal RNA
Rfam family: Bacterial small subunit ribosomal RNA
Source: RNAcentral